Molecule: non-coding RNA, 216 nt
Filed under: Shinella sp.
Lineage: Bacteria; Pseudomonadati; Pseudomonadota; Alphaproteobacteria; Hyphomicrobiales; Rhizobiaceae
Source: RNAcentral
GAGAACUGUCCUCGUCGUGGUUCCCUGGGGCGGUUUUGGCUGCUUCAGGGCUAAGAGGGAAUCCGGUGCGCCGAUCAUUCGGCAAGGCCGGGGCUGCCCCCGCAACUGUGAGCGGCGAGCCGCUGUCCACCCAUGUCACUGAGGCGAAAGCCUUGGGAAGACGGACAGCGGCGACGACCCGUGAGCCAGGAGACCUGCCAAGACGAAACAACGUCC